This 253-nucleotide ribosomal RNA is filed under the name uncultured bacterium. Its description in RNAcentral is "partial 16S ribosomal RNA". It matches the Rfam family "Bacterial small subunit ribosomal RNA", at positions 524 to 776 of the family's 1533-position model. The record is from RNAcentral.
UACGUAGGGUGCGAGCGUUGUCCGGAAUUAUUGGGCGUAAAGAGCUCGUAGGCGGUUUGUCGCGUCUGCUGUGAAAUCCCGAGGCUCAACCUCGGGCCUGCAGUGGGUACGGGCAGACUAGAGUGCGGUAGGGGAGAUUGGAAUUCCUGGUGUAGCGGUGGAAUGCGCAGAUAUCAGGAGGAACACCGAUGGCGAAGGCAGAUCUCUGGGCCGUAACUGACGCUGAGGAGCGAAAGCAUGGGGAGCGAACAGG